This 846-nucleotide ribosomal RNA is filed under the name Austrostigmidium mastodiae. RNAcentral's name for it is "eukaryotic LSU rRNA". It matches the Rfam family "Eukaryotic large subunit ribosomal RNA", at positions 39 to 916 of the family's 3401-position model. Lineage: Eukaryota; Fungi; Ascomycota; Dothideomycetes; Mycosphaerellales; Teratosphaeriaceae. The record is from RNAcentral.
CAUAUCAAUAAGCGGAGGAAAAGAAACCAACAGGGAUUGCCUCAGUAACGGCGAGUGAAGCGGCAACAGCUCAAAUUUGAAAUCUGGCGUCAGCCCGAGUUGUAAUUUGGAGAGGAUGCUUCUGGGCAGCGGCCGGUCUAAGUUCCUUGGAACAGGACGUCAUAGAGGGUGAGAAUCCCGUAUGCGACCGAUUGGCACCCGCCACGUAGCUCCUUCGACGAGUCGAGUUGUUUGGGAAUGCAGCUCUAAAUGGGUGGUAAAUUCCAUCUAAAGCUAAAUACCGGCCAGAGACCGAUAGCGCACAAGUAGAGUGAUCGAAAGAUGAAAAGCACUUUGGAAAGAGAGUUAAACAGCACGUGAAAUUGUUGAAAGGGAAGCGCAUGCGACCAGACUUGCUGACGGUGUUCCCCCGGUCUUCUGACCGGGUCACUCGCCGCCGGCAGGCCAGCAUCGUGYGGGCGCGCCGGAUAAAGGCGCCGGGAAUGUGGCCCCACUGAGGGGUGUUAUAGCCCGGCGCACAAUACGGCGCCGCCCGCGCGAGGUCCGCGUUUCGGCUAGGAUGCUGGCGUAAUGGUCGUAUGCGGCCCGUCUUGAAACACGGACCAAGGAGUCUAACAUCUGUGCGAGUGUUCGGGUGUCAAACCCCUACGCGGAAUGAAAGUGAACGGAGGUGGGAGCUUCGGCGCACCAUCGACCGAUCCUGAUGUCCUCGGAUGGAUUUGAGUAAGAGCAUAGCUGUUGGGACCCGAAAGAUGGUGAACUAUGCCUGAAUAGGGUGAAGCCAGAGGAAACUCUGGUGGAGGCUCGCAGCGGUUCUGACGUGCAAAUCGAUCGUCAAAUUUGGGU